RNAcentral lists this ribosomal RNA (412 nucleotides) under uncultured Pseudomonas sp. RNAcentral's name for it is "bacterial SSU rRNA". It matches the Rfam family "Bacterial small subunit ribosomal RNA", at positions 971 to 1382 of the family's 1533-position model. Lineage: Bacteria; Pseudomonadati; Pseudomonadota; Gammaproteobacteria; Pseudomonadales; Pseudomonadaceae. The record is from RNAcentral.
UUACCAGGCCUUGACAUGCAGAGAACUUUCCAGAGAUGGAUUGGUGCCUUCGGGAACUCUGACACAGGUGCUGCAUGGCUGUCGUCAGCUCGUGUCGCGAGAUGUUGGGUUAAGUCCCGUAACGAGCGCAACCCUUGUCCUUAGUUACCAGCACGUUAUGGUGGGCACUCUAAGGAGACUGCCGGUGACAAACCGGAGGAAGGUGGGGAUGACGUCAAGUCAUCAUGGCCCUUACGGCCUGGGCUACACACGUGCUACAAUGGUCGGUACAAAGGGUUGCCAAGCCGCGAGGUGGAGCUAAUCCCAUAAAACCGAUCGUAGUCCGGAUCGCAGUCUGCAACUCGACUGCGUGAAGUCGGAAUCGCUAGUAAUCGUGAAUCAGAAUGUCACGGUGAAUACGUUCCCGGGCCUU